GCCUAACCAUAACAAAACAAUCAAAUAACCCAUUGUUCGCCAAAUAACUACGAGUAAAAACUUAAAAUUUAAAAGACUUGACGGUAUCUCAAAACAACCUAGAGGAGCCUGUCUAAUAACCGAUACCCCACGAUUAACCCAACCCGCUCUAGCCUACAGUCUAUAUACCGCCGUCGCCAGCCUACCUUGUGAAAGAAACAAAGUGAGCCCAAUAGCCACCACACUAACACGACAGGUCGAGGUGUAACUAAUGAGGGGGCCAAGAUGGGCUACAUUUUCCAACAUAGAAAAAACGGAUUAACCUAUGAAAUAAGAAACUAAAGGAGGAUUUAGCAGUAUAUUGGGAACAACAUACCCAAUUGAAACCAGCGCAAUGAGAUGCGUACACACCGCCCGUCAUCCCUGUGUACCAAUAAAAAUAUUCAUAAACAAAAUCAACUACAAAAACAGGGCAAGUCGUAACAUGGUAAGCGUACUGGAAAGUGCGCUUAGAUA
This 495-nucleotide ribosomal RNA is filed under the name Elaphe hodgsoni. RNAcentral's name for it is "partial 12S ribosomal RNA". It matches the Rfam family "Bacterial small subunit ribosomal RNA", at positions 875 to 1520 of the family's 1533-position model. Lineage: Eukaryota; Metazoa; Chordata; Lepidosauria; Squamata; Colubridae. The record is from RNAcentral.